Drosophila subpulchrella is the source of this 1270-nucleotide long non-coding RNA. RefSeq lists it as uncharacterized. Lineage: Eukaryota; Metazoa; Arthropoda; Insecta; Diptera; Drosophilidae. The record is from RefSeq and is a predicted model, not a curated record. The transcript has 3 exons.
GUCGAUGUGAGUACUAGGCUUUAAUUUUUAAAUUCCACACCGCUUCUGCACGAACACCGCCAAAGAUUAAAUUUCUUAUUCUUUGGGCCGCGGCUAACGGCGUUCAUUGAAAUUGACUCGCGAAGUCAGGUAUUGAGGUACUGAGUACCGCGCUGAAAAACAGACCCGACGAAAAGCGUUAGCCGCGAAUUUGCCUUCUCGUCGAUGUGAGUACUAAGCUUUACAGUGAAAAUCCAGAAACGGCACGUACAGACAUUAUUAAAUUCGUAAAAGAAACUGAAUUGAUUUGCGAGUGCGGCCCUCGCUGAAGCGAGUUGUAGCGACUUUCCCCCGUCUCUGAUGUUUUAUGGAAGAAAAAGUUGCUAAAGCGAAAUUCUGUGUGAACAGGCUAUAACGCUUUUUUGAUUUGCAGUAGUGAACAUUCUUUAAACCCCAUGUGAAAAGUAAAAUAGAUUGUAUACAUGUAAAUAAUUAACUGUUUUAUAUGAAUUUUAAAGAGCAAUUAGUUCUAAGUACCGAAAAUUACGAACGUCGUAGUUUAUGGUUAAACACCAAUAUCAUAAAAUCUUUUGUAUACCUACUAAUACCCGAAAGCAUGUUAUAAAACUUACAAACAUAUUAACACAAGCCUGAAGUAAUAAAAAGAUUUUGCGAAAGCCAAGGCGAAUGAAUGGAAAAUAAAAGUGGUUAAAAUAUCAAAACAAACUAGCUUCCGGAGGAAAAUCAAUAAACUAAACAGGCAACCCAACACUAAACUAGCGUGGAGCUUUCUAAAAUAUCUAAAUAAUUGACAAGAAGAGAAUUCAGUUGAAAACAUGGCAGUAUACGAAAGUCUAUCAGAUCAAUGAAGACCCAGGUUUUAUUUUGGAAGAUCUUGAAGAAAUUCUAAACUAAAACAAGAAGAAAUCUGGAGGGUUAGACAAAAUCACUAGUUGCCAUGAAGAUCAAUUUAGACCCAGGUUUUAGUUUGGAAGAUCUUGAAGAAAUUCUAAACGAAAACAAGAAGACAGCUGGAGGGUUAGACAAAAUCACAUACGAAAUGUUAAAAGCUCCUGGCAGUACCUCCAAAACCGAGCUAGUAUCAUUUUAUAACAACAAAGUUGCUAGGUGUGAUUUUCCGUCGGAAUGGAGAUGGAUUAAGAUUAUGCCCAUCCCAAAGAAAAACGAGGACCUGAACAAUGUACAAAACAUCAGAACUAUUUUUCUCAAUUCUGGUAAAAACAGUAAAUGCUAUGGCCAAAAUCAGACUGGAGAAAUGUAUUAAGGAUUA